This 17215-nucleotide long non-coding RNA is filed under the name Triticum aestivum (bread wheat). RNAcentral describes it as "long non-coding RNA (TAES_LNC015623)". Lineage: Eukaryota; Viridiplantae; Streptophyta; Magnoliopsida; Poales; Poaceae. The record is from RNAcentral.
UGUUUUUUUUUCUUUUCGUCGUGUUAGUUGAUACUUUCUACUUUUCGAACCUAUUUGUUUUCAUUUAAUAAAGAUGGUUGAGUGGAUCAUGAUGGUGCAGAGGCCGGGGUCUUUCCCUUUUUAUCUUACUUUUUAGUUGUUAUUCCCUAGAAAAACGUCCUAUAUUAGAUAAUAUACGAUUGUUUUCAAUUUGACAGAUGUCCAAGGCCUUACGUACGAGAUAUGCGGUUGUAUCAACCAAGAGGCUUUUGUACACCACCUUCACGUACUAGUAUCUUAUCUAUUCUAUACCUACUAAUAAAAAAAUAGGUAUUUUUAGUCCGUCAUGCUAUUUUAUGGAAAACCCCCUGAUGUUUCUUACAUGAAACUCGCAGUACAUAUCAAAUGUUUUUUAAAAUACUCAUAUCUUCUAAAAAGUAAAAACACGUUAUAUAUGGAAUUUGAUUAGAAAAAUAUAUAGAAUCUGAAUGUGAUGUUAUUUUACCUGUUAACCAUUUAAAAAAACUAUAUAGGGUGCAAUCUUAAUCAACAGUGUAUUAUUCAUCUUUCUUUCAUAUCGGUAAUGAUCCGGAUUGUGGAUGAACAUCUCAGCAAAAUUAGGAUUGGAGACGAAAUUGAAGAUCACUUGCCCGUUUCUUUGUACGUAUUAAAUCUACAUGCAAGCCGUGUUUAAAUAGAAGACCUGUAAAAUUUUGAACUUGCACUUUUAUAGGCAAAGACCAUCUUUGUUUGGGUCGUAGCUACAAAUACUUAGAUUAUACUUUUUUGUAAAAUAAAAGCGUGUGUUAUUCUUUUCUCCCGUUGUAGCGCACGGGCCCUCUUGCUAGUAUAAAUAAUGGCACAAACAUGUACUCUAGUUGCUAAAUCAUAUCCGUUGCUUUCAACUGGAUCGCUGGCCAGUGCGUCUAAUCUACGGCUGUACUGUUGGCGUAGCCUCGCCCUUGACGCCACCAGCCUACGAGUACUCUCCGAUCACCACAUGUAAGAAGCUAUACCAGGCCGCUGGAUCAACUCCCUCCGACCGGAACACAUGCGUAUAGUACGAAGUGGCCGGCUAAAAACUCACGGGAGAACACAAGGCACCAGACUCGAUUAUAGCAACAGGGGCGUGUCGCUCCUGAUCCUUUAUUUCUCUUUUUCUGGCGCUCUUUACAACGUAUAUGACCGCAUAUAUAUAUGGGCCAAACCGACCUGAAGCUAGCUAACCUAGCAAUCCAAAACUGAUUCAAACUAGGACUCCUAGUACUUGACGCUCAUGUUGGCAUGCAAGCCACGUCUUCAACUCUAAUACGUAAUUUGGAUUAAUCUCUAACAAUCUCUCCCUAAUCCAAACUUACCACAUCUACGACUCGACUAAACAUGUCAUGUCUGUAUGCUGAGUAUGACCCGCCUGGAAACAUGCAGCGCCUCCUUGCUCUACAAUGUUGUGCCACCGUCAUUGCUUAGCCGCUGCCUUGCACUCGGUCCGCACCAUACUCCUUGUACUUGCUUGCAGUAGAUCCACUCUCCACUGCUCGCACACCUCCUCGCUUUACAAUGGCUUCACCUACCACCGUCCGCCUUCGGCAUCACACCGAACCCAUGCUAGCCGCAACCAGGACGCUCCACGAGGACAUGGACAUGACUCACGGAACACCGUGCACACCGCUUCAACCUGUGACUCCUUUGACAAGACGACAGAAAACACAAUGACUAUUUUUUCUUUUUCUUUUUUUCUUUUUCUAUUUUUUUUUCUUUUUUUCUUUUUCUUUAGAACAAUCUCGGAUCAUCCUCAUCAUCCUGGAUGAGAUUGCAAUCCGCCAGAUUUUUCUUCUUACCCCUCUUCUUUUCGGGACACUCAUAAGCAUGAUGUCCUAGGUCUUGGCAAUUGAAGCACUUGUCCUUGGAUUUAUCACGACGACGCUCUCUUGCUCUCCACUCUGAUCUUGUCAACAAAAGUUGUUCGCCGUCUUGGUCGUCCUCGACAUAGCCGUGCAAUUGUUCCUCAUGAACCUUCAACCUCCCCAUGACUUCCUCCAUAGUCAUCGUCUUAAAAUCGCCAAACUGCUCUAUGGCAAUGCAAUCUGGAGAAAUUUUGGCGGAACAGCUCGAAGGGUUUUCUUAACGGAGUUGUCUCCUCGAACUUUUCUCCAAGCCCUCGUAUCCCAUUGACGAUGGUUGUCAUCCGGAGAGCAAAGUCAUCGAUUGUUUUCGUGUCCUUCAUCUUGAGCCUCUCGAACUCAGACUUGAGGGUUUGCAACCUCGCCUCCUUGAUGCGAUCGUCCCCAAGACGGUUCGUCUUUAUCGCCUCCCAAGCUUCAUGUGAUGUCGUCUUCUCAGCAAUGAAGGCGAACACAUCAUCUAGGAUACUUUGAUAGAUAGCCGUCAACGCCUUCUGAUCCAUCGUGUCGUCCACCUUGCCGGAGACGGCCACCACCGCAUCCCAAACUCCUUGUGCGCGCAUCAACGCCUUCAUCUUGACCGCCCAAAUUGAGUAGUUGCUCUUCGUCAGCAUCAGGUAUUGGACAAACACGCUUCCUCCUUUUUCAGCCAUGAUCUUGACCGUCGCUCCGCAGUCACAGCGCUCACCCAACGAUCUUGAACCUUGCUCUGAUACCAAAUGUUGGCGUAGCCUCGCCCUUGACGCCACCAGCCUACGAGUACUCUCCGAUCACCACAUGUACGAAGCUAUACCAGGCCGCUGGAUCAACUCCCUCCUGCCGGAACACACGCGUAUACAUACGAAGUGGCCGGCUAGAAACUCACGGGAGAACACAAGGCACCAGACUCGAUUAUAGCAACAGGGGCGUGUCGCUCCUGAUCCUUUAUUUCUCUUUUUCUGUGCUCUUUACAACGUAUAUGACCGCAUAUAUAUAUGGGCCAAACCGACGUGAAGCUAGCUAACCUAGCAAUUCAAAACUGAUUCAAACUAGGACUUCUAGUACUCAGACGCUCACGUUGGCAUGCAAGCCACGUCUCCAACUCUAAUAUGUAAGUUGGAUUAAUCUCUAACAUGUACUACCAAUUAAGAGGCUUUUGUAGCCCAUGUCCGUGCGCAGCGGAUGCUGAUGCUGACAGGCACGGUUGCCGUCGACGCUGUGGCAUCAUCAACGGCUAAUUGACUGAACCGCUAGCUAGCUACUUCGACAGUUCAACGUACUCACCUCAUCAUGGAGUCAAACGCCUGCGACAGCCGAUCGACCUGUCGAACCAGUUUCCUGUUAGAACAAGAAACUGCAAGACCGUGCCUUUGUACUGCCACCUGCCGUCCUUCUGACAUUGACAUUUGGAUGAUCGGUACGUACGGAACAUUGACAAUAUAUAAUGGCGAUUUAUUUUGAUGUGUCGUGUCAUCGACGUCCUUCUGGGAUCUGACUUUACUUAAUCUCCGUCCAUUCUGUCAUUCUGAUCAUUAGAUCAUUGAGAUGGCAAUGCUAAGCUCUCAUGUGAGUACUCGGUCGGUGAUUUCCUCAGCUAGUGGUAUUUUUUUUUCCGAGAAGGGAGUGAAUAGCAUAAAACUACCACUUUUCGGAUUAGGGUUUUAAAAAACUAUCAGAAAUUUAUUUGUCACUAAUAACUACCAAAAUCAUAGUCGGCUGUUUCAAAAAACCCAAACAAACCUUUUGCUUAGUUUUAAACCGUUUUUUGACAAACCUGGCCCGCCAGCCACGCGUGUAGGGGCGGAGACAAUGCGGCUGUUAACGGCCAUUACCAGACCAGUGCGGUCGGUCGAAACCAAACCGCUCAGUCAAAAAUAGACCGAGGGGUAACUCUCUUCCUCACUCCCGUGCUCUCACUCCUCUCGCUCUCACUCUUCUCUCUGGUUGCCUAACUCGCCGCCGCUGCUGACAGCAAUGGUCACCUUCCUUCCGCCAUGCCUUCCUGGAACGAUGGGUAAUCGAGCUCACAUGAUGACUGUGACAUCACCAGCAUGGACCUGGGGCAGUGGGUAUAUGUUAUUUCCUUGGCCACAGUUAGGGUUAGGGUUCUUGCUGAGGUAGGGUUACAGUUCUUGUUGAGUUAGGGUUAGUGCAAUUGGGGAUUGAUCUGUUUUAUUUAGGUGAGAUUGGGGAUUAAAAAUAUUGUUGCUGCUGUGGAUGCAGGAGACCCCUAGCAUCAUUGUAGAGCCCCAUCUAUGUGGCUAACUCGAGGAUUCUGAACCCAAAUGCAUGCUACAUCACAUGAAGCCUCUUAAGUGUGUGGCUUUUGAAGGAAUUUGCACCGGAAGGCGUUUUCAUGGUUGUCCAGUGCAGGUUAUAGACCAUCGUUUUCUCUCAAUCUAGCACUAGAUCUAUUAAUUACAUCUGUGCAUUUUCUAAACCCAUGCAUAAGGGCAUCUCCAAAGAAGAACUGCACAGCUCUGGUAUAUUUUGCCGGGACCAUUUUUGUUAAUUUUUAUCAUCCAACGGGGACACUUACCUGUUCGCGGAGCGGUCCGACGUCCGCUUUCCGGUAAAUCUGAGACAAAUGAGGGGAGCUAUGUGGGAGUCCUGGCAUGCACUUGAUCAAUCCAAAGCCUCCGCGUGGUCGUCCUCUCUUUUCUCUCUUUUCUCUCUCUUCACAUGCAUGGUCCCCCUCUUCUCUUUCUCCUCACAACCGGACACCACACCAUAAUAUUCCACCACAUGCAUGGUCCUCCUCCACUCUCUCUCUCCUCCCAAACAGAUUAAUUUGUAAAUAGCAUUGGAUGGACGGCUCCGGUAUCAUGCCCACGGACCAUGUCUGGACAUAAAGACGGACAUUUGUGGUGUCCAUUUCUGGGUCAACGUUGGAGAUGCCCUCACGCAGCAAAUUUUACUGAAUAUGCCUUGUAGUAUAAAUCUAGUGCCGUGUUUUGAAUGUGAAGAAUUUGUAUAAGAAGGAUAUGCAUUAGUAGAACUGGUUAUCGACUUGUGCACCCGCACGGCCUAGCUAUUAUAAGGAUAUAUAAUUAUUAAUAAAAAUCUAUUAAGAUGUAAACUGGAAGAGUUAAAUUGUAGAUAUCAUACAAUUGGUCAGAUGUAAAGUUAUUGAAAAAAUGAUAACACAUAAUAAACACAUGUAUUAUAAUCUUAAUUAUUGAAUUCAGUGGAUCCAUUUUCCCAUUAUGUUGCACAAAGCACAAUCAUUGGCCUGAAGGAGGCCUUCAUGUCAUAGUAGCAAGAUAAACAUCUUAGUGAAUUUUACGCCACCAAUUAAUGGAUGGAGAGACUAUGAAUUAAUUCGAUCCAUAUGGCAAGAUAAAUAUCUUCCUAGCUUAUUUCAGAUAUAUAACACAACGCAACAGAAGUUAGGAGAAAGAUACACUACACACACCGACUACUAAAAAACAAAAUUUAAGUGUGAGAAACAUACCCCGCAUAGGCUAGUUUUGUGUUUUCAAAAAUUAUUGGUGUGUGAUUUUUUGCACAGACUCAUAAUACUUGAUACGAUUAUUUUACCCCUCAAAAAUUUAACUUUAGUUGAUGUGGUUAUGAAAUACCCCUUUUUGAAAUACACAACUAUUUGCCUUGCCAACCCCUAUCAGAAAAAACAAAGAAAAAACUGGCAGUUUCCCCUCCACUUGUAAUGAACUUUGAGGACAGUUUCAAUUAACAAGUAAGCAGUCGAAUAACAUAAGCAAUAUGCACAUGUGACACAUGAUUGAACGUGAAAAAACUUCCUCAACUUGAGGAGUAAAAAAAAGCACGGUUGUGGACCGACCGGUCCACACAACUUCACUAUGAGAACGGUGAGUACAAAGUCUUCUCUAGAACCUCUAGAGAGAUUUACAACACACUCUCCACAUUGCCAACUGACGGCAGUAACAACAACCACAAGAGGAAGCAGAGUUUGCACAGCUUCUGUCUCCUUUCGUAUUUUACAAACUGCUAUCUAACCGCUGAACCAAAUAGCAUCAAAUUUGACAGACAAGUAGACACACGAGUUUCUGAGAUUCCCUCAAAAUUUCAGCUCAAUCGAACAUGAUUUGCCUACCCAAACUGUCGGUCUCCCAAAUAGCUAUUCCAUAUUACUGAUACGUUUUGUGGAAAUCAUAUCGGAAAUAGUUGCAGAAUAGAUGGAACGGAACCGGUGCGUUGCGCCAUCACCUUCGGGAGUCCUAUAUAUAACAGCUAGGGAACAGAGCCUUUGCGCAUACGAUCGAUCGAGUAGCCAGCGUUCAUGCAUAGGGAAGCAGCAAUGGACCCUGUGAGUGGUAGUCCAUGGGCGUCAGUUCCAGGAAACCGACUGCUCCCGAUCCGCGUGUCAACAGAACCUGCCGGCACCGAGUGGACGCAGGAGAACCCCGCGGAGGAGCCCGUGAGCCCUACAGCAAGAGCCAUGGAAGAUAUAGGUAUUUAUAUCGUCGUCACCAUCGGCCUCGACACGCCGAUAAACCUGAGCAUCUUCCGAGCCGGUAUCGAAUCUCUGCUUGCCCGAUGCCCGCGCUUGGGAUGCAUUCAAGUACGCACUCUUUCUGAAGGUUUUCAAGUCCGUACUCUUGUCACUCUCUACGGCUGCUUAACCGCGCGCUGGAAGAACAUUCAUGAGCUCCGUUUAAUUACCAUAUGCACGACCAUGCACGUACAGGUGGCGGACGGGUCAAGCAAUGGAGGGGCGCGAUGGGCGCGCACGGCUGUGAACGCCGAGGAUCAUAUGAUCGUCCCCAGGCUGGAUGGCGCGGCCGUGGCCGCCGACCCAGACAAGGCCGUGGAGGACUACGUCGCCUCGCUGUCCACGCUGCCCAUGGACCGCUCCCGCGCGCUUCUGGAGUUCCAUCUCCUCGACUUCCCGACCUCCGAGGCGGCCUCCACCGUGGCGGUCCGGGUGCACCACGCCUACGGCGACGGCAUGUCUCUAAUGGCGCUUCUCAUGAUGUCCACGCGCAACGCCGCCGCCGACACGAAGGCUCGGCCAGCCACGCCUCCGCGUCGUCGUCGUCCUUCCCGCACGGGCGCCAUCUACGCGUCGCGACGCCGGCCCCCGCUUUCCACGGGCGCCCUGGCGCUCGUCACGUGGGUCUGGUCGUACCUCGUGCUCGCGUGGAACACCGCGUCGGACGUUGCCUACUUCGCCGCCACGAUUCUGUUCCUGAGUGACCCGCGCACCCUGUUCAAGCGUGCCGACGACGAUGAGUUCCACGCCAAGCGCUUCGUCCACCGGAGUCUUAGCCUGGAUGACGUCAUGUUCCUCAAGAGCUCCAUGAACUGCGUACGUAUAAUUAAGCUAAGCUAGCAGUUUAAUUUGUUCAUCAAAUUAUUAUAUUUUCCCCACGGACUGUUAACUUUCUUUCUUUUUUGCCGGGAACCACAGACCGUCAAUGAUGUGCUGGUUGCAGUGACUUCUGCUGCUCUAUCAAGAUAUUACUUCCGCAAGUCCGGUAAGUACCUCAAGGGUAACAAGCAAGUGUUUAAUGGUGCAACUGUUUUUACUAAACAGUUCUUUACUUAAACUUCAAUGUCAGGUGACACUAACACUAGCAAAAUCUGUUUGCGAUCACUCCUUCCUGUCAACACAAGGCCAGCCACUAGCCUACAGGUAAGGUAAGAUGUACUUACCUUUUCAGAAAAUAUAUGCAAUUAAUGGAUGCUAAAUGCCAUGCACCAUCGAUUUUCACCAACAUAUACCGCCUCUGUACCAAAAUAUAAGACGUUUUUGUAGGCUAAACUGGCCUAAAAAACGUCUUAUAUUUUGAUACGGAGGGAGUAUCUCUGAACAUUGUCCGAUGAUAUCACCAUCAUAUUUCAUAGAUUACCAGUAUUUUAACUUAUUUUUCUGAUUUUACCACUAUGAACAGACAUAUGUUAAUGUGAUAGAAUCUGAUAAGAGGAACGAGGUGACAUGGGGAAAUAAACUGGGCUACAUUAUUCUUUCAUUUUAUCUGGCCAUGCACGAAGAUCCACUUGCAUAUAUUCGCAAGGCAAAGAAGGUUCUUGAUAGGAAAAAGAGGUCACUCGAAGUGAUAUUGACAUAUAAGAUUGGUCUGAUUUUCACGAAAUUUUUUGGUGUCAAGGUAUACUGCUUUGUUUCCCUUCGCUCAAUCUAAAAUUAAACUACAAAAAACUUAAUCUAUCAAAUUAAGUAACAGCUCAUAAUUCUUCUUCUUCGUUUUAGUGUUUCAAAUUGCAUUACAUCGUGAUGAUUGAACCAGGUAGGAACUUCAAUCUUUCGGCGUCUCUUCGCACGUACAACAAUAGUUUUCUCAAACAUGGUUGGACCAGCUGAACAGGUAGAGUUAUGUGGACACCCAGUGGCUUUCCUUGCGCCUAGCGUCUAUGGGAUUCCAGAGGUAGGGAACUUGUGAUCUUGCAUACUUCCAGUUUUUCAUAAGUUACUUAAUUUCUAUAAGAAUGCAACUGAUUAGUCAUGUACAUUUGUAUCCACUAGCAAAACUGGUAACACAAAGAUAUCUUAAACUUUGAAGGGGUACAUUGUUUUAGUUUGCUUUAGGUUGUGAACACUAUUAUGUCACCUUCUUAGGAAACGUCGUGUACUGAUAAAAGUUCAUCGUGUGUGUAAAAAAUAUUCAUUGUGUACUUCAAAAAUAUUCAGUUUGUGUUUAAAAAUGCUUAGUGUGUAUUUUAAAAAAGCUUAGAGUAUAUGAAAAAAAUGUUUACCUACUUUUGAAAAAAUCCAGUGUGUAUUUACAUAAUAUUCACCAUAUAUACAAAAAAGUUCAUCGUAUAUCCAAAAAUGUUCACCAUCUAUUAAAAAUGUUCAGCAUAUAUUGAGAAAAGUUCACUGUGUUUUGAAAAAAUGUCCACCUUAUAUUCAAAAAAUGUGUGUGUGUGUGUGUGUGUGUGUGUGUGUGUGUGUGUGUGUGUGUAAAAAUAUAUUUAUACUGAAAAUAAAAUAAAAAUUCCACAAGAAGGCAAAAAAGAAACAGAAGGAACAAAAAAACAAAACAAACUGGUAAUAGAAAAAAAGAUAAACAGAAAAUGAAAAGUAAAAACAAAAAAGGAAAGACAAAAAAUAAAUAAAUUGCCGGAGAAAGAAAAACCAACACAGAAAACCAAACUGUAAACCACAACAGAAAACCCCAAAAAAGCGAAAUAGCAGAAGCAACACAGUGAACCUUGAUCUGGGCUGGUCCAACUAGCUUUGCCUGUGGGCGUCCCAGCAUCCGACGCCCACGGGCGUCAUAUAGCUAGGAGGAUUCGCCGACAAAUUAUUUAACUGCAUAAGCAGAUUAAUGGAAAUUAUUCAGGUGGAGCCCUGGGCGUUCGGUUAGACCGAACUAUUCGGUUCGGUGCUUCGGUUUAUUUUAUUUUUUGAAACGUAGGCUCAAGAAGAGCUCGGCUUUGGAUUAACAAAGCCAUCAACCGGCCAGGAUUACAACUUUGGAAUACAACCACACUCCAACAAAAAGGAAAUAAAAACAAAAGGCAAAGAAACAAAGGCGCCUAGGAGCAGCUCACAGAGGCAUACAACAAGCUAGCUAGCUAGAAGUAAAGAACACAUAGCUAGAGAUGCCGGGAACCCCAUACACGCCUAGAACCAAGGCAAAAACGCUAAGCGUCUUAGCAAAGAGCACCGACGACGGAGCAAAGCACGCCAUUGCCAAACGCCUGGGCUUGAAGGAGACACAUCCAUCCAGAUCCAUCGUCACAGAAGGCCCCUGCCUCCUCGCCUGGCUCAAGGCGCCGCACCGGUGAGCGAUGGACAUGCUCACCCUAGAACUUGCAUGGAUGGCAUCGCAGGAAACCACAGGGGCGGAACCAGGCGUUCCCAGCCUGCCGUCGGCGACUUACCUGAAACAGAGCAAUGCCAAAUGCAAGAGUCCAGGCAUGAAACAGGGGCGAGCUGUCGGAAUGCACAAAUGGGCAGCAGCAAGAGCCAAAACCAAAUCGUCGGCUCGCUCGACGAGCAGAAGAGCAGCCACCGGAGGAGGGCAACCCUAUCCCCUCACGUCCUGGAGAAUCCACGGGCACCGGAGGAGCCCUGCAGCCCAACAAAGAGCACCAAACCAGCUUGACCACAUGCCCAGGGGGACACCGCCGCCGCUGGAGACACUCUGCCGCCGCCGACACACUCCACCUACACCACCACGAAGCCUGUAACCCAUCUUUGUUCCCAAAACAGCGCCUUCAAGAAGGUUACGGCGCCCUGGGCGUCGCCGCUGCCCAACAAUGUUGAGGAUUUCACCCGGGAAACAAAGGGGAAGGGGGUAGGGGGGCAGGACCUGACCGGCGCCUCCAGGAAGGUGAGCGGGCCCGCGGGCGUCGUCGUUGUCGCAGCCGAUACGGCUGGCUAGGGGUUUCCCCCGGUCCUGCAGCCCCGUCGCCCACUCCCACCCGCAGAAGACCGCAGUCCCAUGACGAAACAGGGCGGAUCUGAGGGGGGAGGCGCUCGUUGGGGAAGAAGGGGAAUGGAGGCGGCCAGAUCUGACGCGACAGGAGACGAAUCCGCCGCCGCCGCGCGCUGGCCUGCAUCCACCGGGGCUCUCGCCCCCCGCACGGCCGAGAUAACAGCGACCCCCGCCCACGCCACCGGGAGCCGAAACCGGCGGCGCCACACCUGCCGGGGCCGCCGCCCCGGAUCCAAAGGCCCCCCACAGGUGGCGAGGCGGCGAGGGCCCCGCUGCCGCCUUCAUCAGCAGGGGGGCCGAGCUUGCCCGGCAGCAGCUGCCUCAGGCGGCGGCGAGGGAAGGGAGAGGAGGGGAGGGGGCGGCGGGGCUAGGGUUUUCGCCCCUCGGGUCGCCUAAGCGGGGCGGCACGAGGGGGGAGCGUCUCCCGUCCUUCGGUUUAUUUGGAAUUUUGGUUUCUGAUUUUGCUAACCAAACGGUUUUAUGAGAAAUCAAUAACCGACGCUUCGGUCCAUCGAGAUCUCGGUUAGGUGUUGGGUUACAACCGAAGAGAAAAACAAAAAUAGGAAUGAAUCAAACAUGCAUAUAUCAUAAAGGACGGGGUGAAGGAGCUCCGACAAAAAUCGUUGCUAGCAGGUUGCUCAACUAACCCGCUGCAUUAGGAUCACUAUGCGAAGAGCCAUCCUGAGGCACACUGAUCCACUCACUAGGACAUUUUUGUCCUGGGUCCGCCCCUGAUUCGGGCCUGUAGAGUAAUCAAUUGAGGGUUUCUUUAGCUCAGCUUUCUUUCCUAGAUUUUGUACUAGAACAAUCUUAAAAUUAGUAACCUCACAAAAAAAAUUAAAAUUAGUAAACCCUUAGAGUAUUUCAUUUUUUUCCUAUACCAUGAUUGGCAAUUAAUUUCUAGGAUUGCUUUUGUAGGCUCUGAUUAUUCACUACCAAAGCUACAGAAGCACUAUCAAGAUAAUUCUAUCAGUUGACGAGGACAAGUUUCCAGAUUAUCAUCAACUUUUGGAUGACUUUGACCAGACCCUCACGGUCAUGAAGGACGCGGCUUCAAGACUUUCAACGUCAACUAAGAAUGACUNNNNNNNNNNNNNNNNNNNNNNNNNNNNNNNNNNNNNNNNNNNNNNNNNNNNNNNNNNNNNNNNNNNNNNNNNNNNNNNNNNNNNNNNNNNNNNNNNNNNNNNNNNNNNNNNNNNNNNNNNNNNNNNNNNNNNNNNNNNNNNNNNNNNNNNNNNNNNNNNNNNNNNNNNNNNNNNNNNNNNNNNNNNNNNNNNNNNNNNNNNNNNNNNNNNNNNNNNNNNNNNNNNNNNNNNNNNNNNNNNNNNNNNNNNNNNNNNNNNNNNNNNNNNNNNNNNNNNNNNNNNNNNNNNNNNNNNNNNNNNNNNNNNNNNNNNNNNNNNNNNNNNNNNNNNNNNNNNNNNNNNNUUUAGUUAAAAUAAGUACUAACACCUCUCGAUUUUUUUUCAUGCAGUAAAUAAAAUUAGUCCCUAUUACAUGCAUCCUUUUGAAUGUCUUUCAUCUUUGAGAGUACACUCACAAUAGAGCGGUGAGCGCGCAUAUGACAAACGACUGCGCCAAGCCAUAGCAUGCUGACAUUCAUCCGCUACUAAAUCCGUAACUGAUAUAUAAAGGUUGCAGCGAUCUUCCAUUACAAAAGAAUCAUUCAACAAGAUUAUCAUUCAUAGAAUAUUUUCCAAGAGGUAAUCAUUCUGCCAACUCUAGCUAGCAAAUCAAAGCGCUUCUUCUUAUCCGUGCUCUUCGGUCGUUAGGCCGGCCGCAGAGUGAGUUGCCAAUCCGAUCCACUCAGGGGAUCCUGCAAGGAAAUUCAGAAUUUUCGUUCGGUGACACACAAAACUUGAGAAAGCAGCUGAUGGAAGGACGAACAAAACAAGGUACGUACUGGGAGCAGUCAAAGUCGGGGCUGGUGGGGAGGAACCCGACGCUGAGGCCGCACGCGGACGGGAGGCCGGCGGCGCGGCCGGAGUCGACCUUGCCGGCGGCGAGCAUCUCCGACAGGAGGCACGCGCAGAGGUCCCGGCGCUGGUCGGCGCCCGGCGCCAGGUCCUUGACGUCGCUCAGCCCCUGGCAGCACUGCGGCGGGAUCUCCUCGUCCAGGCCGGCCACGUACCCGGUGCACUCGCUGAAGGCCGUCUGCGCGACGCUGCAGUCGCUCUCGUCGCCCCCCGCUUCGGCGCCACGCCGGCCGCUGGCCAGGACGGCGAGGAGGAGCGCGGCGGCCACCACGGCCGGCGAGUGGCGGGUCGGCGUCAUGGUGGAAGACCGGAAGGUGGUUGCGCCGCAGCGGUCUGGGCUUUGGACGAGGGUGGUCGGUGGUGGGAUGCGUGCUGCCUCGGAUGGAUUCUUGGAAGGUACGUAUAUGUAGUACGUGGCGCGCGUCAGUCUCGCGACUGCAUGAUGAGUAAGGAAUGCCGGAGUAGGAAAUCUCUCGCGUAGGCGAUGGUAAUUUACCUCCUGCAGUUUUGUUAAGCAAUGGGUAAUCAGGUGAUUUUGUGCUUCGUUUUGGAAAGGGUGGAUUAAAUUUCAUAAUUGUCUGCUUCGUUUGGGAGAGCAAAGAUUUAAUUUAAUCCUAGUGUACGUAAUUUUCAGCUUCGUCCUGGAAAGCGGAGAUUAAUCACGUCCUAAUUUUGUGCUUCGUUUUGGGCAGCAGUGGUUAGUAGCUUGAUUAUAGUUCCCAGUCAAAUCUUUCCAAUACGUACAUUCACACUGACUCGUCGCUCCAUUUGUAAGGCUUUCCAGUUCAGUCAGAGAAGCUCCUAGUUUUCUUCACAAAAUAUUCCCUGCGAGAGCAUGAACUUCCUAGUACAAGUGCCACACCGAAGGAUACGCGGCAGUUGCACCGAGGGAUACUCAGGUGGCGAUGCGAGGUCCCUUUGCCGACGACUGGCCGAGAAAACAAGAGGCAGGGUACCUUAGAUUGGCGUUCGUGUGUAAUUUAUAUAUUAUUUUUUAUCAAGUUCAUUCAUGUUUACCUGGCAGGGCGACAUCGCAUGGAAUAAAAUUUUCCUUACAACAUAAGCCCUCCGACCUAAAAUAAGUGUCUCAACUUUUAGUACAAACUUGCACUAAAGUUAGUAUAAAGUUACGACACUUAAUUUAAGUCGGAGGGAGUAUUUGUCUUACUGUGGUCAUGAUUGCAGAUUUCAAGGGGCUAGUGUUGUUCGAUCAUAACUCAUAAGAGUCGAUGAUGCUUGAUCUGAUGGUUUGAUGUUCAGUGCCUUCACUGGUGCUAGUUUUACUCUGGUGUCUGGUUUUCCAACUUCAUCCCUCUAUGCUCUCGGUCUUCUUUUUUGGCAGUCUUACGAAGAAACAACGGCCCGAGCAAAUUUUCUUGGGCGUGUUUGGUUGCAGUAGUGAACAGUAGUUGCAUUGCAUACACAUCUUAAUCCAGCCUGGUUGAGGAAAAACAACCCCAAAUGCGUCAUCUGCAAGUUGUUUGCUUGCCUGCAUCUAGGGUCGCUGCAUUAGGUAAUACGUAAGUGCACUUUGUUUGGUUGCCUGCAUUGGCCCAAGCGGCACAUGAACACGGUGUUUGGUUGCACGCAUGAGGUAUGAUUAAGAGCUAGCAGAGGGAGGGGGAGAAGAAAUGUAGUGUGCGCAGGACAAUGGCAACUGCGGUGGAUAGUGGUCGUGGCACCGUGUCCGACAUGACGAGCAUCGAGUCGUGGACGAGCGACCCCGUCGGCGGCACGGCGAGCGACACCGUCAGCGAACUAGUUGUGGUGCUCGCGCAAAGACAGUCGACAGAGGAGGAGAAUGCAGUGCUCGCACCAUGGUAUCGUCAAUGCGGUGGAUGAGAGAGGAGGCCGAGAUGAUCGACGCCGGAAACAACUAAAGUGUAGUAGGUCGAGAGAGAGGAGGCCAAGAUGAUCGACCCCGUCAGCGGCGCGGUGAACUACAGUGUGCGCGGAGGCAGAGGACACAAGAAAGCAGUGUGCGCGCCAUUGCAGCGACAGUGCAGUACGAGGACGACAGAGAGCGACACCGGAAACGACUCUAGUGUAGCAGGACGUGGGCAAGGAGAUCAAGGGGAAGGGCGUCGGCAUCGAGAGGGACGAAUAGGAGGGCUCUCAGCAGAGGACAAAGGAGCUCGACAUGGCGGCGUUUGUGCAGUAGACUGCUGUUCAAAGAGAUGAAGCUACGAUGUCGAAACCAAAAACUUACAACACGAAUGUUGCGAGGAACUGUGAGAUUAGGCUGCUGGUGAAAGGAAAUUUCAAAUGAUCGAUCGUGCAUGAUGAAUCUGACAAAAUUCUUCCAGAAUAGCUCCAAAUGAGAACACGAAAUUAAGAACUUACGGCCGACGAAACUACAAACCGAUCGCCUGAAUGAAACCGUAGCAUCGAGGUGCAUCUUUUUCGUGUAGAGCUUACCUCGAAUCGAAGCACUGUUGUGUAGAUCCGAAGGGGCUAGGAAGAACAGAAUUAGAGAGAAGGUUAAUGGAGGUAGGAGUUGCAUACCAGUUUUUUUUUUUUGAGACAAGGCUGCAUACCAGCUAGUAUCCCUCCCAUCUUCCCUUGUGCAAGUGGCCCAUCAUGUGCGCUCGCCUCAGUCAGGCUUGCUAGAAACUGCCGAUCUGAGCGUUUCCAGCGAGUCAAGCCCAGAUGUGCUUUAAGUUUCGUGCUGUGCAGGCCCAACAGUAAAUGCAACCAACCAAACGGACUCAGUCUUUCCCGCACGGGCCAGGCUGGGCCUAGUGCAGGCAACCAAACGCGCCCCUUGUGGUUCAGUGGUUUAAAGAUGAUCACCUCUGGAGGUGGAGGGCUCAUGUGGUUCUUCAAAACCUUUGAGGUUUAUUCUUAACCUGUGUAGGUUUGGUCCUUUGCGGUUUUUCUCCAGAGCUUUGGAGGGAAGUUGAGAAAGGCUGCAGGUGGGGACGACGACUUCAGAGGACUAAAUUUAAUGUUUGUUUCUAUCGAUCACUGUUUUAUAAUAAAAUUGUAUCAUUGCUCUCAAAAUCAGUUUGGUUUUGCUAAUAAAAAACAUAUGAUUCGCUAGGACUGUAAGGUGGUCUUCCUUAAAAGGGGAAACUACGAUGAGAACCGAGCUGAUAAAAUAUUGAAAUGCCUCCUUAGAAACCAGUACAUUUGAUAUUAUCUUACCCAUAAUUUAUUAGAAACCAAUACAAAACUUGAGCUAAACCAGACAAGCAAAACGAAGAUGCAACCAAAAUUUAUUCAAAAUGAAUUUUAACCUAAUCACCAAAUUAAUAGAACUUUUGAACGGAGACAACGACUUGGUUAACUUGUUCCAAGAUUUCAUAGCAUAAUCUAAUUAAAUAAAUGUAUCCUUUCCUAUCUGAUCAUACGGCAAAGCUCAGGGCAAAUAGAAAGGGGGGAACCAGGAAAUCAUGAUCAUGUUAUCCUCAAGCCCUUGUAAGCAGGGCAGAAUACUACACCCAUGAACACCUACCAAUCCCUAUGUAACUUCAAUGCAAUUCUACAAGAAAUGUUCACUUUCGUGAAUAAGCAAGGUUGGUCUGUCAAGAAAAGAUGGUUCAAGGUCUCUGAAAAUAGAUGGCUGAAGGUUACUGUUGUUAUCUGAAGUUCAAGGUUAGUGCCGUUUCAUAUUUAAUCGUCCAAUAUAGAAACUGUCCUGAUGCUGAAUAAAAAUGCAUUUGAACCCGUCAUAUAAUGCUCUCCUGCUCGGUACCAAUCCCACUAGAUGACUGAUCUCAGUAGCAACAUCAAAUCACGGACAUAUAAUGCUCUUCUACUCGGUGUUCACCCUAUAUUUGCCAACCCGUAAUCGAAAGCAUGCCUAAUUCAAGAUACAGCAGCUAGUCACCCCAUCAAAGUUCCAACUUCCUCUCCUGCCUGACCAAUUUCUCCAAAGGCUAAAAACAACUGAGAGCAACAGAACCAGAAAUGCUAGUCAAGGAGACACCAAGGUUUAGGAAGGAAGCACAACCUUGAGAAGCGUUCAGAAAUUAUCUUCUGAAUGGAGACUGCAAAUUGUAAGUAUUUAGAAAUUUCAUAUACCGCACUUAAAUAAAUGUGUCCUAUCUGAUCAUACGGCAAGCUCAAGGCAAACAGAACAAAAUAUUUUACCAAUGAAUGCUAGAUGUAACUUCAAUACCAUUCUACUGGAGGUAUUUAUUUUUAUUUAAGAUGGCCCAAGGUAGUUCUGGAAAUAAGAUGGCUCAAGGUUACUGCUGUCAUCUAAAGUUUCAGGUUACUGCUGUUAUCUGAAGUUUCAGGUUACUGUUGUUAUCUGAAGUUUCAGGUUACUGUCGUUCCAUAUUCAAUCAUCCUAUAUAGAAAGUGUCAUCAUGAUAAACAAAGUGUAUUUCACUGCAACCGGCAAUCCCAGUAGAUGCCUGGCUUCAAUAGCAACAUCAGAUCACCAAUGCUCUCCUACUUGGUGUUCACUCUAGUUUCCACCCCAAAACUUGAAGCAUGCCAAAUUCCAGCUACAACCGCCAGUCACCCCAACCCAAGUUCCAACUUCCUGUCCAGCCUGAUCAAUUUCUCCAAGGCCAAAAAAACUUGGGGACAACAUAACAAGAAAUACUAGCUAAGGAGGCACCAAGUUUUAGGAAGGAAGCACAAGAAGCACGUAAUACCGUAUACACCCGCUACGUAUAACCUCAGUAGGUACCAAGGAAUCACUCGCUCAUGUGAAAUUGCAAGAACUCGCGAUGUGGCAUUGCUGUGAAUCAAUCAUACUAAUUCAAUUUCGUCAUGGAGCUUAAGGGGGGAAAUCAAACUAAACAAACAAUCAGUUACCACUCAACGAAAUUCAUACAGAGAACUUAGAAAGCUUAGAUACAUGCUAAGAUGGAACAGUACUCUGAAACUCCAGAAUUAUGUUCAGUAUAACAGCAAGAUUUAUUCCCCCAGCAGAGUAAAACAGAACCACCAUGCCAUGCCAUAUCCUUAUGAUUAUACAACUUAGAACGAAUCCGAGAGCAAGCUUUUACCCUCCCAGCUGGCAGCGGUUGCUCAG